UACGAAGGGUGCUAGCGUUGUUCGGAAUCACUGGGCGUAAAGCGCGCGUAGGCGGCUUAACAAGUCAGAGGUGAAAGCCUGGAGCUUAACUCCAGAAUUGCCUUUGAAACUGUUAAGCUAGAGUGUCGGAGGGGAUGGCGGAAUUGCUAAUGUAGAGGUGAAAUUCGUAGAUAUUAGCAGGAACACCGGUGGCGAAGGCGGGUCUCUGGGCAAUAACUGACGCUGAGGAGCGAAAGCGUGGGGAGCGAACAGG
This 253-nucleotide ribosomal RNA is filed under the name uncultured bacterium. RNAcentral's name for it is "partial 16S ribosomal RNA". It matches the Rfam family "Bacterial small subunit ribosomal RNA", at positions 524 to 776 of the family's 1533-position model. The record is from RNAcentral.